CUCGGCUCCUCCCUCCUCCUUGCCCACUAACCUCGUCCUCCCCCGCCCCUCCCUCUCCGCCCCCCCUCACCUCUCCACUCCCCAUCCUGCCGCCUCCGGCCGCCGCGCCGGCCUCGGCUCUACCGGAAACACCGGUCACUGAGCGCCGGAAGUGACCUCGCCGGCCGGCCCAGCGCGUUACCCGUCGCGCACGCCGGGGCGGUGGCCGCUCUAGGCAGCCCCGGCGCGGGAAGGUGGAGGGGAGGGGGGGGAGGAGGCGGAGAAGGAAGGGGCGACCAUAGAGCGCUGGAGGACCGAGGGCGCCCCCCAGCGGGCGGCUCCGGGAACAGGCGCCCCUGCAGACGCCGGUGUCUCGCCUCACGCUGGGAUGAAUCCCGACGGCACCUACAAGCAGCUGGACCCACUGGAGAACCGUGGGGCUCAGCCCACCCGCUUCCUGCUGAAGUGCACCCGCGGUGCGUUGCUCUCCACCAUCCUCCUCGCCCUCUUCAUCCUCAUCUUCCUCCUCUCAAAUUCUCUCGUCUGAGGCUAGUCUCCGCAGUGAUGCCAGAAGUGAUGCUGGCGGCGAUGCCAGAUCCUGCGGUGACACAUGCCGGUAAGACGAGCUUAUGGGGGGUGACACUCCCCUGAGACCCUUGGCAUCCUGAUGCUAACAAUGCACCAUGUGGCGUGUCGCUGAAUUUCCACCUAUAGUGAUCCGUUCCUGGUGGAAAGACAUCCACAGUAGGGAAGACCUCUCCAGUGAUGGUUCCGUGCCAAAUCCGUCCACCUUCUCCACGUGAUGAACCUCUUGGGGACCGUCAACCAACAUCCUGGACAUCGCCCGUCCUUCUUACUGUGACCACACUGGAC
Molecule: long non-coding RNA, 852 nt
Filed under: Aquila chrysaetos chrysaetos
Lineage: Eukaryota; Metazoa; Chordata; Aves; Accipitriformes; Accipitridae
Description: lncRNA (ENSACCG00020016334.1)
Source: RNAcentral